This 478-nucleotide ribosomal RNA is filed under the name uncultured bacterium. RNAcentral's name for it is "partial 16S ribosomal RNA". It matches the Rfam family "Bacterial small subunit ribosomal RNA", at positions 28 to 523 of the family's 1533-position model. The record is from RNAcentral.
GACGAACGCUGGCGGCGUGCUUAACACAUGCAAGUCGAACGGUAAGGCCCUUCGGGGUACACGAGUGGCGAACGGGUGAGUAACACGUUGGUGAUCUGCCCUGCACUUCGGGAUAAGCCGGGGAAACUGGGUCUAAUACCGGAUAGGACCACUGCCUGCAUGGGUGGGGGGGGAAAGCUCUGGCGGUGUGGGCUGGGCCCGCGGCCUGUCAGCUUGUGGGUGGGGUGAUGGCCUACCAAGGCGACGACGGGUAGCCGGGCGGAGAGGGUGACCGGCCACACUGGGACUGAGAUACGGCCCAGACUCCUACGGGAGGCAGCAGUGGGGAAUAUUGCACAAUGGGCGCAAGCCUGAUGCAGCGACGCCGCGUGAGGGAUGACGGCCUUCGGGUUGUAAACCUCUUUCAGCACCGACGAAGCGCAAGUGACGGUAGGUGCAGAAGAAGGACCGGCCAACUACGUGCCAGCCGCCGCGGUAA